RNAcentral lists this ribosomal RNA (433 nucleotides) under uncultured bacterium. Its description in RNAcentral is "partial 16S ribosomal RNA". It matches the Rfam family "Bacterial small subunit ribosomal RNA", at positions 29 to 507 of the family's 1533-position model. The record is from RNAcentral.
AGCGAACGCUUUCUUCCUUCCUAACACAUGCCAGUCGAACGAACUCUUCGGAGUUAGUGGCGGACGGGUGAGUAACACGUGGGAACGUGCCUUUAGGUUCGGAAUAACUCAGGGAAACUUGUGCUAAUACCGAAUGUGCCCUUCGGGGGAAAGAUUUAUCGCCUUUAGAGCGGCCCGCGUCUGAUUAGCUAGUUGGUGAGGUAAAGGCUCACCAAGGCGACGAUCAGUAGCUGGUCUGAGAGGAUGAUCAGCCACAUUGGGACUGAGACACGGCCCAAACUCCUACGGGAGGCAGCAGUGGGGAAUCUUGCGCAAUGGGCGAAAGCCUGACGCAGCCAUGCCGCGUGAAUGAUGAAGGUCUUAGGAUUGUAAAAUUCUUUCACCGGGGACGAUAAUGACGGUACCCGGAGAAGAAGCCAAGGCUAACUUCGUG